Molecule: ribosomal RNA, 2921 nt
Filed under: Staphylococcus aureus FVRH6021
Lineage: Bacteria; Bacillati; Bacillota; Bacilli; Caryophanales; Staphylococcaceae
Description: bacterial LSU rRNA
Rfam family: Bacterial large subunit ribosomal RNA
Source: RNAcentral
UUAAGUUAUUAAGGGCGCACGGUGGAUGCCUUGGCACUAGAAGCCGAUGAAGGACGUUACUAACGACGAUAUGCUUUGGGGAGCUGUAAGUAAGCUUUGAUCCAGAGAUUUCCGAAUGGGGAAACCCAGCAUGAGUUAUGUCAUGUUAUCGAUAUGUGAAUACAUAGCAUAUCAGAAGGCACACCCGGAGAACUGAAACAUCUUAGUACCCGGAGGAAGAGAAAGAAAAUUCGAUUCCCUUAGUAGCGGCGAGCGAAAUGGGAAGAGCCCAAACCAACAAGCUUGCUUGUUGGGGUUGUAGGACACUCUAUACGGAGUUACAAAGGACGACAUUAGACGAAUCAUCUGGAAAGGUGAAUCAAAGAAGGUAAUAAUCCUGUAGUCGAAAAUGUUGUCUCUCUUGAGUGGAUCCUGAGUACGACGGAACACGUGAAAUUCCGUCGGAAUCUGGGAGGACCAUCUCCUAAGGCUAAAUACUCUCUAGUGACCGAUAGUGAACCAGUACCGUGAGGGAAAGGUGAAAAGCACCCCGGAAGGGGAGUGAAAUAGAACCUGAAACCGUGUGCUUACAAGUAGUCAGAGCCCGUUAAUGGGUGAUGGCGUGCCUUUUGUAGAAUGAACCGGCGAGUUACGAUUUGAUGCAAGGUUAAGCAGUAAAUGUGGAGCCGUAGCGAAAGCGAGUCUGAAUAGGGCGUUUAGUAUUUGGUCGUAGACCCGAAACCAGGUGAUCUACCCUUGGUCAGGUUGAAGUUCAGGUAACACUGAAUGGAGGACCGAACCGACUUACGUUGAAAAGUGAGCGGAUGAACUGAGGGUAGCGGAGAAAUUCCAAUCGAACCUGGAGAUAGCUGGUUCUCUCCGAAAUAGCUUUAGGGCUAGCCUCAAGUGAUGAUUAUUGGAGGUAGAGCACUGUUUGGACGAGGGGCCCCUCUCGGGUUACCGAAUUCAGACAAACUCCGAAUGCCAAUUAAUUUAACUUGGGAGUCAGAACAUGGGUGAUAAGGUCCGUGUUCGAAAGGGAAACAGCCCAGACCACCAGCUAAGGUCCCAAAAUAUAUGUUAAGUGGAAAAGGAUGUGGCGUUGCCCAGACAACUAGGAUGUUGGCUUAGAAGCAGCCAUCAUUUAAAGAGUGCGUAAUAGCUCACUAGUCGAGUGACACUGCGCCGAAAAUGUACCGGGGCUAAACAUAUUACCGAAGCUGUGGAUUGUCCUUUGGACAAUGGUAGGAGAGCGUUCUAAGGGCGUUGAAGCAUGAUCGUAAGGACAUGUGGAGCGCUUAGAAGUGAGAAUGCCGGUGUGAGUAGCGAAAGACGGGUGAGAAUCCCGUCCACCGAUUGACUAAGGUUUCCAGAGGAAGGCUCGUCCGCUCUGGGUUAGUCGGGUCCUAAGCUGAGGCCGACAGGCGUAGGCGAUGGAUAACAGGUUGAUAUUCCUGUACCACCUAUAAUCGUUUUAAUCGAUGGGGGGACGCAGUAGGAUAGGCGAAGCGUGCGAUUGGAUUGCACGUCUAAGCAGUAAGGCUGAGUAUUAGGCAAAUCCGGUACUCGUUAAGGCUGAGCUGUGAUGGGGAGAAGACAUUGUGUCUUCGAGUCGUUGAUUUCACACUGCCGAGAAAAGCCUCUAGAUAGAAAAUAGGUGCCCGUACCGCAAACCGACACAGGUAGUCAAGAUGAGAAUUCUAAGGUGAGCGAGCGAACUCUCGUUAAGGAACUCGGCAAAAUGACCCCGUAACUUCGGGAGAAGGGGUGCUCUUUAGGGUUAACGCCCAGAAGAGCCGCAGUGAAUAGGCCCAAGCGACUGUUUAUCAAAAACACAGGUCUCUGCUAAACCGUAAGGUGAUGUAUAGGGGCUGACGCCUGCCCGGUGCUGGAAGGUUAAGAGGAGUGGUUAGCUUCUGCGAAGCUACGAAUCGAAGCCCCAGUAAACGGCGGCCGUAACUAUAACGGUCCUAAGGUAGCGAAAUUCCUUGUCGGGUAAGUUCCGACCCGCACGAAAGGCGUAACGAUUUGGGCACUGUCUCAACGAGAGACUCGGUGAAAUCAUAGUACCUGUGAAGAUGCAGGUUACCCGCGACAGGACGGAAAGACCCCGUGGAGCUUUACUGUAGCCUGAUAUUGAAAUUCGGCACAGCUUGUACAGGAUAGGUAGGAGCCUUUGAAACGUGAGCGCUAGCUUACGUGGAGGCGCUGGUGGGAUACUACCCUAGCUGUGUUGGCUUUCUAACCCGCACCACUUAUCGUGGUGGGAGACAGUGUCAGGCGGGCAGUUUGACUGGGGCGGUCGCCUCCUAAAAGGUAACGGAGGCGCUCAAAGGUUCCCUCAGAAUGGUUGGAAAUCAUUCAUAGAGUGUAAAGGCAUAAGGGAGCUUGACUGCGAGACCUACAAGUCGAGCAGGGUCGAAAGACGGACUUAGUGAUCCGGUGGUUCCGCAUGGAAGGGCCAUCGCUCAACGGAUAAAAGCUACCCCGGGGAUAACAGGCUUAUCUCCCCCAAGAGUUCACAUCGACGGGGAGGUUUGGCACCUCGAUGUCGGCUCAUCGCAUCCUGGGGCUGUAGUCGGUCCCAAGGGUUGGGCUGUUCGCCCAUUAAAGCGGUACGCGAGCUGGGUUCAGAACGUCGUGAGACAGUUCGGUCCCUAUCCGUCGUGGGCGUAGGAAAUUUGAGAGGAGCUGUCCUUAGUACGAGAGGACCGGGAUGGACAUACCUCUGGUGUACCAGUUGUCGUGCCAACGGCAUAGCUGGGUAGCUAUGUGUGGACGGGAUAAGUGCUGAAAGCAUCUAAGCAUGAAGCCCCCCUCAAGAUGAGAUUUCCCAACUUCGGUUAUAAGAUCCCUCAAAGAUGAUGAGGUUAAUAGGUUCGAGGUGGAAGCAUGGUGACAUGUGGAGCUGACGAAUACUAAUCGAUCGAAGACUUAAUCAA